RNAcentral lists this ribosomal RNA (492 nucleotides) under uncultured bacterium. RNAcentral's name for it is "partial 16S ribosomal RNA". It matches the Rfam family "Bacterial small subunit ribosomal RNA", at positions 29 to 507 of the family's 1533-position model. The record is from RNAcentral.
AGUGAACGCUGGCGGUAGGCCUAACACAUGCAAGUCGAACGGCAGCACAGUAAGAGCUUGCUCUUACGGGUGGCGAGUGGCGGACGGGUGAGGGAUACAUCGGAAUCUACUUUUUCGUGGGGGAUAACGUAGGGAAACUUACGCUAAUACCGCAUACGACCUACGGGUGAAAGCAGGGGAUCUUCGGACCUUGCGCGAUUGAAUGAGCCGAUGUCGGAUUAGCUAGUUGGCGGGGUAAAGGCCCACCAAGGCGACGAUCCGUAGCUGGUCUGAGAGGAUGAUCAGCCACACUGGAACUGAGACACGGUCCAGACUCCUACGGGAGGCAGCAGUGGGGAAUAUUGGACAAUGGGCGCAAGCCUGAUCCAGCCAUACCGCGUGGGUGAAGAAGGCCUUCGGGUUGUAAAGCCCUUUUGUUGGGAAAGAAAAGCAGCAGGUUAAUACCCCGCUGUUCUGACGGUACCCAAAGAAUAAGCACCGGUUAACUUCGUG